UGACCGCUGGCGGCGUGCCUACUACAUGCACGUCGAGCGAACGGACGAGAAGCUUGCUUCUCUGAUGUUAGCGGCGGACGGGUGAGUAACACGUGGAUAACCUACCUAUAAGACUGGGAUAACUUCGGGAAACCGGAGCUAAUACCGGAUAAUAUUUUGAACCGCAUGGUUCACAAGUGAAAGACGGUCUUGCUGUCACUUAUAGAUGGAUCCGCGCUGCAUUAGCUAGUUGGUAAGGUAACGGCUUACCAAGGCAACGAUGCAUAGCCGACCUGAGAGGGUGAUCGGCCACACUGGAACUGAGACACGGUCCAGACUCCUACGGGAGGCAGCAGUAGGGAAUCUUCCGCAAUGGGCGAAAGCCUGACGGAGCAACGCCGCGUGAGUGAUGAAGGUCUUCGGAUCGUAAAACUCUGUUAUUAGGGAAGAACAUAUGUGUAAGUAACUGUGCACAUCUUGACGGUACCUAAUCAGAAAGCCACGGCUAACUACGUG
RNAcentral lists this ribosomal RNA (495 nucleotides) under uncultured bacterium. RNAcentral describes it as "partial 16S ribosomal RNA". It matches the Rfam family "Bacterial small subunit ribosomal RNA", at positions 30 to 507 of the family's 1533-position model. The record is from RNAcentral.